GAUGAACGCUGGCGGCGUGCCUAAUACAUGCAAGUCGAGCGAACAGAUAAGGAGCUUGCUCCUUUGACGUUAGCGGCGGACGGGUGAGUAACACGUGGGUAACCUACCUAUAAGACUGGGAUAACUUCGGGAAACCGGAGCUAAUACCGGAUAAUAUUUCGAACCGCAUGGUUCGAUAGUGAAAGAUGGUUUUGCUAUCACUUAUAGAUGGACCCGCGCCGUAUUAGCUAGUUGGUAAGGUAACGGCUUACCAAGGCGACGAUACGUAGCCGACCUGAGAGGGUGAUCGGCCACACUGGAGCUGAGACACGGUCCAGACUCCUACGGGAGGCAGCAGUAGGGAAUCUUCCGCAAUGGGCGAAAGCCUGACGGAACAACGCCGCGUGAGUGAUGAAGGUCUUCGGAUCGUAAAACUCUGUUAUUAGGGAAGAACAUACGUGUAAGUAACUGUGCACGUCUUGACGGUACCUAAUCAGAAAGCCACGGCUAACUACGUG
RNAcentral lists this ribosomal RNA (497 nucleotides) under uncultured bacterium. Its description in RNAcentral is "partial 16S ribosomal RNA". It matches the Rfam family "Bacterial small subunit ribosomal RNA", at positions 28 to 507 of the family's 1533-position model. The record is from RNAcentral.